GAUUAGGUGUCUUAAUCACAAGACUUAAUAGGGAAGUUGGUGCAAAUCCAACGCGGUCCCGCCACUGUAAAUGGGAGCUCUCUUAUAUCAAGCCACUUUUCAAUUGAAGGGGAAGGCAUGGGAGAGUAAUGAUCAUGAGCCAGGAGACCUGCCUAUUCUUUU
Molecule: non-coding RNA, 162 nt
Filed under: Bacillus andreraoultii
Lineage: Bacteria; Bacillati; Bacillota; Bacilli; Caryophanales; Bacillaceae
Source: RNAcentral